AGAAUGUUAGCACAGGUCUUUGAAUAAAUUU
This 31-nucleotide non-coding RNA is filed under the name Homo sapiens (human). The record is from RNAcentral. Lineage: Eukaryota; Metazoa; Chordata; Mammalia; Primates; Hominidae.